UACAGAGGUCUCAAGCGUUGUUCGGAUUCAUUGGGCGUAAAGGGUGUGUAGGCGGCGGGGUAAGUCUGGUGUGAAAUCUCGGAGCUCAACUCCGAAAUUGCACUGGAUACUGCUCUGCUAGAGGGCUGGAGAGGAGAUCGGAAUUCACGGUGUAGCAGUGAAAUGCGUAGAUAUCGUGAGGAAGACCAGUGGCGAAGGCGGAUCUCUGGACAGCUCCUGACGCUGAGGCGCGAAGGCUAGGGGAGCAAACGGG
Molecule: ribosomal RNA, 253 nt
Filed under: uncultured bacterium
Lineage: Bacteria
Description: partial 16S ribosomal RNA
Rfam family: Bacterial small subunit ribosomal RNA
Source: RNAcentral